Molecule: ribosomal RNA, 474 nt
Filed under: uncultured bacterium
Lineage: Bacteria
Description: bacterial SSU rRNA
Rfam family: Bacterial small subunit ribosomal RNA
Source: RNAcentral
AACGAACGCUGGCGGCGCGCCUAACACAUGCAAGUCGAACGAGAAUCCGGGGCAACCCGGUAGUAAAGUGGCAAACGGGUGAGGAAUACAUGGGUAACCUACCCUUGAGAAGGGAAUAACCCGCCGAAAGGUGAGCUAAUACCCUAUACGCUAUCUUUUUUUCGAAAAGGAUAGGAAAGCCGGGUCGAGGACCUGGUACUCAAGGAGGGGCUCAUGUCCUAUCAGCUUGUUGGUGGGGUAACGGCCUACCAAGGCUACGACGGGUAGCUGGUCUGAGAGGAUGAUCAGCCAGAAUGGGACUGAGACACGGCCCAUACUCCUACGGGAGGCAGCAGUGAGGAAUAUUCCGCAAUGGGGGAAACCCGUGACGGAGCGACACCGCGUGGAGGAUGACGACUUUUUAGUUGUAAACUCCUGUCCUGAGGGAAGAAAUUUUUGACUGUACCUCAGAAGAAAGCACCGGCUAAUUCUGUG